This 3586-nucleotide long non-coding RNA is filed under the name Salvia miltiorrhiza (redroot sage). RNAcentral's name for it is "long non-coding RNA (SMIL_LNC006441)". Lineage: Eukaryota; Viridiplantae; Streptophyta; Magnoliopsida; Lamiales; Lamiaceae. The record is from RNAcentral.
GCAACUCUUAGUAGAUCGGUUCAAUCUAUAUGAAAAUACAAAUCUAGCAAUAGAGAAUAAAAUGAUACAGAUUAGAAGAGGCCUAAAUAGAAUCUUCUCAUCUAUAUAUCCAUAUAUAUAUAAGCUGACUACAACACAAUUUGGUCAUUUUCCUGCCAAAACACACCAACCUUUUAACCAAUGUGUAAUUCAGUUCAUAUUAAGUGACUGCAUAAUAUAACUAAUUUUCAAUAGAAUGUUGUAAUACUUAAUUAUAUUGGUAACAGAAUUUGGGCAGUAAUUUUAGCUUAGUAUUUGUUAAACUUGGAGCCAAAUAUUAAAAUUCAGAAUCAAGUUUNUUCGUCAAAAAUCAAUUGCAAACAUUACAUUGGUCCUUAAUGAUUGGAUAUUAACUAUAGGUAUACAAAUCAAGUCGUAUUUGUCGUUUUGUAAGUAGCAUCAAGAGAAAUGACAUCGCCAAAGUGAUGAUAAUCUAUAAGGCAACGACUAUCCCUAAAUAAUAGAUUUUUUAACCUUCUGUCAUCUAGCUUUAACCCUCUAAUAGAAGGACGGAUCUGUCAAUCCUUUUUUAGCCAAAUACUCCAAGAGUUUGUUGGCAUCCGUAUUGUCAACCUUAGACAUCAUUUUCCUCUCACGAUGUAACUCGUCAUAUUCAUACUUCGGUACAAAUCCGAUAUUUUCUACACUACCCACUUCAUUAUCCACAAAAUAGUAAGCACAACUAAUUCCAAUGCCGCUAUCUUUCAUAGCUAGUAACAAAGUCUUCUUCGACUGAGACAUAUUGCGCGUCGAUCUUAGAAAAUAACUAUAUGAUGGAUCAACCAAUCACUACUAGAAAAACGCUCAUAGAUAACGGAUUUUAUCCGUUAUCUAUGAGCAAAAAAACCGUUGUGUAUAGUGGUGUUAUCUAUUCUAUACGUCAUACACAACGGUUUCAAAACCUUUAUGUAUAGUAGCAUAGAUAACGGUACGAUGCAUCAUACAUAACAGUACGCAUCCGUUAUCUAUAAAGGUUAUACAUAACGGUUUUUCACCGUUAUGUAUUAAGAUUUUUCCGUUAUGUAUUAAUUUUUUUUUUUUUUUAUCAUAGUUAACAAUUUUUUGCACUUUUUAUAACGGUUUUAACCGUUAUCUUUGAUAGAAUACAUAACGGUUUUUCACCGUUAUGUAUUAAGAUUUUUUCGUUAUGUUAUUAAUUUUUUUUUUUAUUUUCACAGUUUUUUGCACUUUUUUAUAACGGUUUUAACCGUUAUCUUUGAUAUAAUACAUAACGGUUUUUUGCACUUUUUAUAACGAUUUUUUGCACUUUUUAUAACGAUUUUUGCAAUUUUAUAACGUUUUUAACCGUUAUCUUUGAUUAGAAUACAUAACGAUUUUUGCACCUUUUAUAACAGUUUUUUUCACUUUUUAUAAUUGUAGUAUAUUUUAAAUUUUGUAAUUUUUAUAAAACGACAAAAUGAUAAAAUCAACGAUAACAAUAUUAUAUAUCAUCCAAAAAAUUCAUACAUUAUUAUACAAAUGAACCAAAUAUCAAGUAUACAUCAUCAUUGCAUAUUCCGAUUCAAAAUUGAAAAUACCAACUACCUUAUAGCUAAAACAAAAAUCUAUCAUACUAUGUAUUCUAGCACUAAGUCCUCAAGAACUAGUUGCUCUUUCCUGAAAUCCUUCUUCCUCAUGAAAGUAAUCUGCAAUAGAGAUUUAAUGAAAAAUGAAGAAUGACCGCUACCUUCAGAAUUAUUAAAGUGACAACUAAAAAAAUAGGCACCAAGAUAGGCAAUCGUAUGAGGUAGCUUAAAGUGCACCUGAGCCCUUCUUUUCUCUUCCAUCUCUUCCUUGAGGGCUUCGUUACUGCACCCGUUGAUCCAUAAUCAAUUCCUUCUACUACUCCUCUUCUCUGCAAAAGCCAAGGACACAAAAUUUCAGCAUACCAAUGAUCAAGAAACAAAUGAGUUGUAGGAAUGACAUGAUAUUGAACAAGAAAUUAAAAGCAAUGCCCAAGCUAAAACAACCAUUCAACAAACAUACGGGGUAUAAAGAAUCAUGACAAAAACAAUUGGUAUUUCAAUAAGAUCGAUAAUAUGAAGCAUAUAAUGCAGCACUCAGCAGAAAUAUACACCACAGGAAACUACAGGAGAAGAUGCAAUUCUAAUAGGAAAAAUGGAUUAAAAGUAGGCGUUUACCACUAAUUUAUUGUACGACAAAUGUUCUCUUCUGUCGGCUACUGAAGCCCGAAUAAGUUCCCCAGUAUACUCAAUCACCUUAAAUGCAACAAAAUGGCAACUUAAUAUGUUGAACCUCAAAAAUUAGAAAGAGAUGGUUGUCAUAGCAAUUUACCAUGUCUCCAGCUCUAUAUGGAAGUUUAGUGAAGACACCAAAUCCAUGUAUACGAGACUUCCCUGUGGCCAAAUUAUUUCAAAGGUGGAUGAUUAAACAGAGUACUUCCCACUAAUUUAUUGCAAGAUAUGGAACUCAUGCCCACAAAAGAGAAACCUUAACAACAAUUAGGAAUCAACUGAUUUUCAAUAUGCAACUCUUAGUAGAUCGGUUCAAUCUAUAUGAAAAUACAAAUCUAGCAAUAGAGAAUAAAAUGAUACAGAUUAGAAGAGGCCUAAAUAGAAUCUUCUCAUCUAUAUAUCCAUAUAUAUAUAAGCUGACUACAACACAAUUUGGUCAUUUUCCUGCCAAAACACACCAACCUUUUAACCAAUGUGUAAUUCAGUUCAUAUUAAGUGACUGCAUAAUAUAACUAAUUUUCAAUAGAAUGUUGUAAUACUUAAUUAUAUUGGUAAACAGAAUUUGGGCAGUAAUUUUAGCUUAGAUUUGUUAAACUUGGAGCCAAAUAUUAAAAUUCAGAAUCAAGUUUAAGAGCCAAAACUUUUCCUAUAAUUACAAGGGCCUUCUGUUCGUUUUAGUAAAACAUUUCCAAAAAAAUCGUGUGGUUUUUAUCUUUCAACAUUUCUGUUCUUUCAUUUUCAAAAAUCCUUUCUAUUUGAAGUUACGAUUUUGAGAAAACAAGAUUUUUUAUUCAUUAUCAACAUCUUCAUUUCAAAAUUAUUUUGUGGGACUUCUUAUUUUCUAGGAAUAUAAUUGUUUAAAUGAAAUAACAGCAUCUGAUAGCUUUAUUAGCAUUGUUUCCCUAUUCGAAGAAUAAAAUAGUACUACUAAACCACUAUUGUCCAGUUAAAAUACAUGCAAAAAACCGCAGUUCAGAGUUUAUAAUGAUAAUGAUAAAAAGUAAUUGAAGAAUCCAUACCUCUUUGGUGUUGUUCGAUUUUUAUGUAUCAAACUUCUUUGCUAGCUUCACUAGAAAGAUGGUCCUUAACCUGCAAAAUAAUCCAUAAUGUUAGUAUCCAUUCAAACUGACCCAAUUAAAAUUGAACGAUGAAAAUAUUCUGGAAUAGAAUAACUACCUGAAACUUCUUUAUGAAGUCAUGCCCUAGCUUCAUUAUCUCGCCUAAGAGUUUUCAGCAAUACCAUCUUUAUUGAACCAUAGGCAAUCCAGGAUUCUUGGAAGAUUCUUCUUAAAAUAGCCUCCUUCGAAUCCGCCACCCAGAAAUUACUGUUAGGCUAAAGUUUUGUGUAGAAA